This is a long non-coding RNA of Pongo pygmaeus (Bornean orangutan), 1876 nucleotides long. RefSeq lists it as uncharacterized. The record is from RefSeq and is a predicted model, not a curated record. NCBI's taxonomy places the organism in Eukaryota, Metazoa, Chordata, Mammalia, Primates, Hominidae. The transcript is spliced from 4 exons.
CAUGCGCUACGAUGGUUAUCACAGCACUAUUAUUUGUGGGAGCUAAAAAUUAAAACAAUUGAAUUUGUGGAGACAGACAGUAGAAAGAUGGUUACCAGAGGCUGGGAAGGGUAUCGCAGUUGGGGGAGGGGGGCAAAUGGGGAUGGUUAAUGGGUAUAAAAAAACAGAAAGAAUAAGACCUAGUGUUUGAUAGCACAACAGGGUGACUACAGUCAAUAAUGAUUUAAUUGCACAUUUUAAAAUGACUAAAAUAGUAUUGGAUUAUUUGUAACGCAAAUGAUAAAUGCUUCAGGUGAUAGACACUCCAUAUCUCCCAUGUGAUUACUACGCAUUGCAUGCCUGUAUCAAAAUAUCUCAUGUGCCCCAUAAAUGUACACACCCACUAUGUACCCAAAAAAUUAAACAUAAAAAAACUUUUUUUUUUUUUUUUUUUUUUUGAGACGGAGUCUUGCUCUGUCGCCCAGGCUGGAGUGCAGUGGCGCGAUCUCAGCUCACUACAAGCUCUGCCUCCCGGGUUCACGCCAUUCUCCUGCCUCAGCCUUCCGAGUAGCUGGGACUGCAGGCGCCUGCCACCAUGCCUGGCUAAUUUUUUUUUUUUGUAUUUUUAGUAGAGACAGGGUUACACCGUGUUAGCCAGGAUGGUCUCGGUCUCCUGACCUCGUGAUCUGCCCGCCUCGGCCUCCCGAAGUGCUGGAAUUACAGGUGUGAGCCACCAUGCCCGGUCCAUAUUUCUUUUUUUUUAAUGCCAUUAUAAAUGGUAUUAAUUUUUUUUUUUUGAGAUGGAGUCUCACUCUGUUGCACAGGCUGGAGUGCAGUGGCGCAAUCUCAGCUCACUGCAGCCUCCGCCUCCCAGGUUCAAGCGAUUCUCCUGCCUCAGCCUCCCAAGUAGCUGGGAUUACAAGCGCCUGCCACCACGCCUGGAUAAUUUCUGUAUUUUUAGUAGAGAUGGGGUUUUACCAUGUUGGCCAGGCUGGUCUCGAAAUCCUGACCUCAGGUGAUCCGCUAGCCUCGGCCUUGCAAACUGCUGGGAUUACAAGCAUGAGCCACCGUGCCCGGCCAAAUGGUAUUAAUUUUUAAAUUUAAAUUUCCAAUUUUUCACUGCUAGUUGACUGAAAUAUAGUUGAAGUUUGUGUGUUGCUCUUGCAUCGUGAAGCCUCACUAAACUCAUUUAUUAGUUUAGUAGCAUUUUUGUAGGUUCAGUUGGAUUUUCUACAUAAAUGAUCAUGCCGUUUGCUAAGAAAAGUGGCCUCUUCCUUUCCAAUCUGAUGUUUUUUGUCCUCUGCCUUAAUGCCCUGGCUAGAACCUCCAGUAUUGUGUUGAAUAGAACUGGUGAGAGCAGAAAUCCUUGUUUUGUUCCUGGCUCUAGGAAAGCACUCCGUCUUUACCUAUGGAGUCUCACUCUGUUGCCCAGACUGGAGUGCAGUGGUAUGAUCUUGGCUCACUGCAACCUCUGCUUCCUGGGUUCAAGCAGUUCUCCCACCUCAGCCUCUGGAGUAGCUGGAAUUACAGGCAGCAGUGGUGGAGGAGACAGGACCUCCUGCUGGGGCAGCACCAACCACUGGAGCAGGCUCAACAGUCCCCACACUGCCAGUGAAGUUCCUGAUUGUGACGCUGGCCAGACCAGAAAGGUUUGACGUUUACACUAGCUGCUUCAGUGAGGGCAUCGAUCCUGUCCUCUGUGACAGCCACUUCACUGUCAUGCAGGAUGAGGGCUGCGUAGAUGCAGGCCGUAUUUUCCUGCUUCUUUAAAUGCCUGGCAGUCUUUGACUGGAUGCCACACAAUGUGACUUUUACCUUACUGGGUGCUUGAUAUUACUGUAUUCCUGUGAAUAUUGUUCAGCUUUUUUUCUGGGAUGCAAUUAAAUUACUUGGAAGC